RNAcentral lists this ribosomal RNA (1438 nucleotides) under uncultured organism. RNAcentral describes it as "16S ribosomal RNA". It matches the Rfam family "Bacterial small subunit ribosomal RNA". The record is from RNAcentral.
CAGGCUUAACACAUGCAAGUCGAGGGGCAGCAUGGUCUUAGCUUGCUAAGGCCGAUGGCGACCGGCGCACGGGUGAGUAACACGUAUCCAACCUGCCGUCUACUCUUGGACAGCCUUCUGAAAGGAAGAUUAAUACAAGAUGGCAUCAUGAGUCCGCAUGUUCACAUGAUUAAAGGUAUUCCGGUAGACGAUGGGGAUGCGUUCCAUUAGAUAGUAGGCGGGGUAACGGCCCACCUAGUCUUCGAUGGAUAGGGGUUCUGAGAGGAAGGUCCCCCACAUUGGAACUGAGACAUGGUCCAAACUCCUACGGGAGGCAGCAGUGAGGAAUAUUGGUCAAUGGGCGAGAGCCUGAACCAGCCAAGUAGCGUGAAGGAUGACUGCCCUAUGGGUUGUAAACUUCUUUUAUAAAGGAAUAAAGUCGGGUAUGGAUACCCGUUUGCAUGUACUUUAUGAAUAAGGAUCGGCUAACUCCGUGCCAGCAGCCGCGGUAAUACGGAGGAUCCGAGCGUUAUCCGGAUUUAUUGGGUUUAAAGGGAGCGUAGAUGGAUGUUUAAGUCAGUUGUGAAAGUUUGCGGCUCAACCGUAAAAUUGCAGUUGAUACUGGAUAUCUUGAGUGCAGUUGAGGCAGGCGGAAUUCGUGGUGUAGCGGUGAAAUGCUUAGAUAUCACGAAGAACUCCGAUUGCGAAGGCAGCCUGCUAAGCUGCAACUGACAUUGAGGCUCGAAAGUGUGGGUAUCAAACAGGAUUAGAUACCCUGGUAGUCCACACGGUAAACGAUGAAUACUCGCUGUUUGCGAUAUACUGCAAGCGGCCAAGCGAAAGCGUUAAGUAUUCCACCUGGGGAGUACGCCGGCAACGGUGAAACUCAAAGGAAUUGACGGGGGCCCGCACAAGCGGAGGAACAUGUGGUUUAAUUCGAUGAUACGCGAGGAACCUUACCCGGGCUUAAAUUGCAGAUGAAUUACGGUGAAAGCCGUAAGCCGCAAGGCAUCUGUGAAGGUGCUGCAUGGUUGUCGUCAGCUCGUGCCGUGAGGUGUCGGCUUAAGUGCCAUAACGAGCGCAACCCUUGUUGUCAGUUACUAACAGGUUCCGCUGAGGACUCUGACAAGACUGCCAUCGUAAGAUGUGAGGAAGGUGGGGAUGACGUCAAAUCAGCACGGCCCUUACGUCCGGGGCUACACACGUGUUACAAUGGGGGGUACAGAGGGCCGCUACCACGCGAGUGGAUGCCAAUCCCCAAAACCUCUCUCAGUUCGGACUGGAGUCUGCAACCCGACUCCACGAAGCUGGAUUCGCUAGUAAUCGCGCAUCAGCCACGGCGCGGUGAAUACGUUCCCGGGCCUUGUACACACCGCCCGUCAAGCCAUGGGAGCCGGGGGUACCUGAAGUGCGUAACCGCGAGGAGCGCCCUAGGGUAAAACUGGUGACUGGGGCUAAG